RNAcentral lists this ribosomal RNA (415 nucleotides) under uncultured bacterium. RNAcentral describes it as "bacterial SSU rRNA". It matches the Rfam family "Bacterial small subunit ribosomal RNA", at positions 355 to 786 of the family's 1533-position model. The record is from RNAcentral.
UCGGGAAUAUUGCGCAAUGGAGGAAACUCUGACGCAGUGACGCCGCGUGCAGGAAGAAGGUUUUCGGAUUGUAAACUGCUUUAGACAGGGAAGAAAAAGGACAGUACCUGUAGAAUAAGCUCCGGCUAACUACGUGCCAGCAGCCGCGGUAAUACGUAGGGAGCAAGCGUUAUCCGGAUUUAUUGGGUGUAAAGGGUGCGUAGACGGGAAGUCAAGUUAGUUGUGAAAUCCCUCGGCUCAACUGAGGAACUGCAACUAAAACUAACUUUCUUGAGUGCUGGAGAGGAAAGUGGAAUUCCUAGUGUAGCGGUGAAAUGCGUAGAUAUUAGGAGGAACACCAGUGGCGAAGGCGACUUUCUGGACAGUAACUGACGUUGAGGCACGAAAGUGUGGGGAGCAAACAGGAUUAGAUACC